GAUGAACGCUGGCGGCGUGCUUAACACAUGCAAGUCGAACGGGAAACCUUUUAUUGAAGCUUCGGCAGAUUUAGCUGGUUUCUAGUGGCGGACGGGUGAGUAACGCGUGGGUAACCUGCCCUAUACAGGGGGAUAACAACCAGAAAUGGUUGCUAAUACCGCAUAAGCGCACAGGGCCGCAUGGUCCGGUGUGAAAAACUCCGGUGGUAUAGGAUGGACCCGCGUUGGAUUAGCCAGUUGGCAGGGUAACGGCCUACCAAAGCGACGAUCCAUAGCCGGCCUGAGAGGGUGAACGGCCACAUUGGGACUGAGACACGGCCCAGACUCCUACGGGAGGCAGCAGUGGGGAAUAUGGCACAAUGGGGGAAACCCUGAUGCAGCGACGCCGCGUGAAGGAAGAAGUAUCUCGGUAUGUAAACUUCUAUCAGCAGGGAAGAUAGUGACGGUACCUGACUAAGAAGCCCCGGCUAACUACGG
RNAcentral lists this ribosomal RNA (477 nucleotides) under uncultured bacterium. RNAcentral's name for it is "partial 16S ribosomal RNA". It matches the Rfam family "Bacterial small subunit ribosomal RNA", at positions 28 to 506 of the family's 1533-position model. The record is from RNAcentral.